RNAcentral lists this ribosomal RNA (292 nucleotides) under uncultured bacterium. RNAcentral's name for it is "partial 16S ribosomal RNA". It matches the Rfam family "Bacterial small subunit ribosomal RNA", at positions 505 to 796 of the family's 1533-position model. The record is from RNAcentral.
GUGCCAGCAGCCGCGGUAAUACGUAGGGGGCUAGCGUUGUCCGGAAUCAUUGGGCGUAAAGCGCGUGUAGGCGGCUCGAUUAGUCUGCUGUGAAAGUCGGGGGCUCAACCCUCGGAUGCCGGUGGAUACUGUCGGGCUAGAGUGCGGAAGAGGCGAGUGGAAUUCCUGGUGUAGCGGUGAAAUGCGCAGAUAUCAGGAGGAACACCAAUUGCGAAGGCAGCUCGCUGGGACGUCACUGACGCUGAGACGCGAAAGCGUGGGGAGCAAACAGGAUUAGAUACCCUCGUAGUCC